This 862-nucleotide long non-coding RNA is filed under the name Cicer arietinum (chickpea). RNAcentral's name for it is "long non-coding RNA (CARI_LNC000622)". The record is from RNAcentral. Lineage: Eukaryota; Viridiplantae; Streptophyta; Magnoliopsida; Fabales; Fabaceae.
AUAAAUGCAUAUGUUUUUUGACAGAGGUAAGCUCGUAUCAUUUUAUUAAUAAUAAAUUGUUUAAUAUAUGUUGGGAUAUCAAUAAAAAUUUGGAUACUAGCCAAAGAUGAGGUUACCUAUGCUUAUUGACAACCAAUUUGGAGUCCAUAUUGAAAUUGACAUUCUCUAGUUGUAGCUUAUGGACCCACUGCAAAGUCGUCAAAAGACCAACAACUUAUCCUAUUUUAACAGUAGUAGAAAACCAUUAUGUUUUUGGCAAGUGCAAAAUUCCCAUCUUCAUCAUGAAUACAAAGGCCAACUCUUGUCCUAUUCAAAUGAGAUGAAAACGCAUCAUCAAUAUUAUAUUUCACUGUCACUGAAUAGCCUCAUUUGAGACUUGUAUCGUCGCUGAUCUGAUGCAUAUAUAUUUGUUGUACUUGCUGCCAUUCAAACAUGUUAUUGUGUGAGAAUAUAGUUUGCGAGUCUUCCGUUUGUCGGUUCAAAAGUAUAUUAUUGUGUUGCUUCCACUCACCCAGAGCAUGGUAGCAAAGCUAGCAACAACAUUUGUAUUUAGUUGGUGCAUCAUUGUGAAAAAUAUAGCAGUUGUGUUGUUUGUGCGAGAUACAGCAAAAAUGAUCAUAAUAUACAACUGAGUUUGUUGUGAACAUUGAAUGCUAUUAGGACACUGAAAAAAUAAGUGAUAAUUGUCCUCCAAAGCAUUGUCAAUAAAGUUGCAUUUGGAUGCACAACCGAUACCACACUCAUUCAGUCCUACCCAUGUAGGAAAACAGUUACGACAAAAACGCCACAUCAGAUUUUUUUACUUUCGGUGGAGCUCUUAUUUUCAAUAUUAAAUCCCAUCGACCUUUGACCUUUAAGUGAG